This 3803-nucleotide long non-coding RNA is filed under the name Capsicum annuum. RNAcentral's name for it is "long non-coding RNA (CANN_LNC015157)". Lineage: Eukaryota; Viridiplantae; Streptophyta; Magnoliopsida; Solanales; Solanaceae. The record is from RNAcentral.
GGUGACAAACGAGCAGGUCGAGCCAGAUAUGGGCUGAUAAAAAUGGGUCAAACAAAAAUAGAUAGAUUAUCCAACCCAACCCGUAUUUGAUAUGGAUAAACCCAUUGGAUAAUAUGAAUAUCCAUAUUAUCCAUAGUCAUAGCAAAUACACCUGCACUUCAAAACACGAUUCUUUCUGCUGCUGCUGUUUGUUUUUGCUCCAACUAUUUUUACAUGGAACUAAAAUGAACAUCUAAUCUACACUACAUAAGAAAAUCUACUACUCAUGAUACACCAACAAUACUCAUCAGGAACAAGCAAAAUGAAAAGAAACUGACAAAGUGAUAAAUAAUCUUUCAUCCAAUCGUCUUUGCAGGCCACGGUACAUAGCUUUUCGAACUAGAGGAGGAGUAUCUUCAGUUAGUACCUCUGCAUCCAACUUCUCAAUAUGCUGCCAUAUCUGUACAUCAUCAAACAAAUGACACAAAAACCACGAUAAGAAAUUGUAAUAGUAAUUCGCACUCAUAAAGAUAAGUAGUUACAGCUCCUACAUCGAAACUCUCGGCAUUUACAAAAAAAGGUCGUUCUUUAUGGAAAACUCAUCAUUAAUAAGGAAGAAGUUUUUCGCAAUGCCCCUCUUUGUAUUAACAAGGCAAAGACUAAAAAGGAGGGCAGAUGGAAAUAAAGAAGUCACCGUUCACAGAUUAAAGGGAGAAGAAGUCAGACUCGGCUGCUGGAAAAUGUUAAAGCCAACAGAAGUCAUUGUAGACAAUCUUUGUGAUGUAUUGAGUGGGUUAAGAUUGAAAAACAGGCACCAGAGGUUAAAGAAACUCACUUACAAACCAAAUUACAAGUAUCAAUUCUUGAAUUUGGUUAUGGUUUCCUUGCUUUAACUAUACGCAUCAAGAAGUGCAUCAUUUCUUUAGACAGCAACAGAGAAAUGAUUGCAGAUCAGUGUACUAUCGCUUCAUUUAUCCUUCCUAGCUUUUACAUCAGUGUACUAUCUCCCAACAGAAGGGAUUAUCUGAGACAUUUACAUCAUUUCAGUAUUUUGCAAGUCACACAAUAGAGCUCGCACUGGAGUAGCACUUAAGACAUCCCGUGCCAUUAAUGAAAGUUCGGGAUACCUUAGCCUAUUAUCCUUCCAAUACACAAGUCCACAUUUCAAGUACCUACACUUAAAACAUUUUCGACUGACUAACUCACUACUCUAGUGACCACUUAAGUAUAUUCAAAAUACAAGUCCACCUUUCAAGUAACUACACUUAAACAUUUUCGACUCACUAAUUCACUUCUCAAAUGAUGACCACACUUAACUAGAUUCAAAAUACAAGACCACAUUUCAAGUACCUACACUUAAACAUUUUCAAGUCACUUAUUCACUUCUCAAGUGACCACACAUAACUAAAUUCAAAACACAAGUCCACAUUUUAAGUACCUACAAACAUUUUCAAGUCACUAACUCACUUCUCAAGUGACCACACUUAACUAAAUUCAAAACACAAGUCCACAUUUCAAGUACUUAGACUUGAAUAUUUUUGACUCACUAACUCACUUCUCUAGUGACCACACUUAACUAUAUUCAAAACACAAGUCCACCUUUCAAGUAACUACACUUAAACAUUUUCGACUCACUAAUUCACUUCUCAAAUGACCACACUUACCUAAAUUCAAAACACACAUCCACAUUUCAAGUACCUACACUUAAAAAUUUUCAAGUCACUUAUUCACUUCUCAAGUGACCACACUUAACUAAAUUCAAAACACAAGUCCACAUUUCAAGUACCUACACUUAAACAUUUUCAAGUCACUAACUCACUUCUAAAGUGACCACACUUAACAAAAUUCAAAACACAAGUCCACAUUUUAGGUACUUAGACUUAAACAUUUUCGACUCACUAACUCACUUCUCUAGUGACCACACUUAACUUUAUUCAAAACACAAGUCCACCUUUCAAGUAACUACACUUAAACAUUUUCGACUCACUAAUUCACUUCUCAAAUAACCACACUUAACUAAAUUCAAAACACAAGUCCACAUUUCAUGUACCCAUACUUAAACAUUUUCAAGUCACUUAUACACUUCUCAAGUGACCACACUUAUCUAAAUUCAAAACACAAGUGACCACACUUUAGUAAAUUCUACACAUUCGUGACAAACACAUUGUCUUACACAAAGAAACAAAAGCAAUUUUAAUCCUAUGAAAAUAACACUUAAUUACGGUAAUUGAUUAUGUGCCAAAUCCCAAUCAGAUCAAAUUACACACAAAAAUCAGCUCCCCCAUAAUCUAAUUUAAGAAAUUGAAAUAUUCUAAACAAGAAGUCUGUCCUAGUUUUAGGGGAAUUGCCAGUGAAACAAUUGACCACAAAAUCCCAAUUUCACCAAAAUAACAUGAGGUAUUAACAAUUGCCUAAGGAGAAACGCGAGCAAUAGUGCAGCCAUUACCUUCAAUAGUAGAUAAUGGGCACUGAACCAGAGAGUGUAGUCAAGACCCACCACUUCCAGUAAUUUAGGAAACUGAAAAAUUAUACAAUACAGAACAAUCAGCAACGAUGAAAACAUAAUUUUUUUUAAAAAAAGAGUUGAUCGUGAUAGAAAAAAAAGUACGAGCCAAAGGUAUAAAAUCGAUGGCUCCAAGAAUUGAAGUUGUCAACUAAAGAGCAGUGACAGCAGCACCACCAAAAAGGACGAGUGAAGAGGAAUCUUCAGGAUCAUACUGGAAUGUAGGAAAUCUUUGUGUCAACAAUUGGAAGGAAAUCACAGACAUAGACAAGGCGACAAAAUUUAUAUUCAACAGGAUGAAAAAGCAAAAUGGUAUAAAUGAUGGUUAGCUUCUUUAAAUUUCCAACUUGUUACAAGAUGAGUAUCCUAUACACAUAGCUUAUGGAUAUCUUUACGUACAAAAGUUCCAUAUAUAUGAUGCAUUUGGAUGUCCAUAUGUUGAGCUAAAGUGAAACUCAAAUACACCGAGAUCCUUUGUUAGCCUUCGUAAAGCAAGCACUAAGAGGGCCACACACAAACAAAUUAGAGAACACAAGAAAAACAGUCACCUAUCCCCUAAAACUACCAAGUACAUUGCAUAAUGAAAAAAAAAAAGAGAACUGCACGCUUCAACGAGCCACACUGCCUCGGUCAUAUCACAUAUCACAAAGAGAGGGUGAAUUAUGAAAAGAGGAAAAAAAAGGAAGAUAUGAUACAUAAAGAAUAGCAUGGAAGGUGCCAUUGCUCAGGUAACCGCUCAGAAUCAACAUGCUUGUCGAUGCAUCUUCAAGCCUUGUGACUUUCAAAAGCUGAACUUUCAUCAUAGCAACGAUAUUUAAUACUAAAUAUUACAUCUAAUGAGUAUUCGAUGUAAAAAUAGAAGGGGGGAAAAAGGAAUUUCGCAUGAUGACCCACACAGGAAAUUGGUAGUGUUAAUAGGGGAACUGGUGAAGCAAGAAAUACCUCAACUGGCGAGGACGCGGCGGUUUGGCAUGGUUGAUUUUGGGAGGCGGCGCUGGUGCUCUGCCGGCUGGCUCGGCGACAUCGGGUUUUCUCCGGCUAGGGAAGAGAAGAGGGAAGCCAGGAAGAGGGGAAGGGCCGACUCAGGUUUCUCAGCGGCGGUGGCAACCAUUGAUGGAUAGAGAGAGGUAUAGAGAGAGAAAAGGUAUAACGGCAUCUUUUUUUGAAAUGGAGGGAUUAGGGUUUUGAUAUUGUUUUAAAGGGAAAGGAAUUGAGAUCUCACCUCAGCAGUUGGAUCAACAUUGAGCAAUUUCACUUUUAAUUUGGGGUUAAAAAUUGAUAUCAAUUUGGCUAAAAUUGAUAUUAAUUGGACAAGAAUUAG